UUUAAUCCCCGAAUUUGACUGGUGCAGGCCCUUCUAAUGCACUUCCUAAAAACUGAAGUAUAAUAAUACAUACAGGAAAGUGCUAGUGUGCCCUCGCGUUUCCACAGACAGCACGCCCUGUACACAGACACCAGCGGCCCUCCGGGACCUGCGCAGGUGGCGUCGCCCGGCGUUGUCUCCGGAGUCGAUUCGGGCCGGGGCACCUCCCCGGGCGACCAGGCCCCUUCUUGAUCAUCGCUGGUACGGAUGAGAGCGGCAGUGGGCAUUUGGAAAGCACCUGGGGCCGCGCCCGGGCGCAGUGCCCCCAUGUGGCCUCCCACCCCGGGCGGGCAGGACGAUUCCUGCCCAUCUGGAAGACCAGGAACCUGCGCGUUCACAGGGUUCGGAAGCCCGGGCUGCGCCUUCCCGCGGGGCCGGCUGCCGGGCUGGGGGCUCUUCCCGCCUCUGCAUGCACAGAGCCCGCGGUGCACGAACCUGCUCCCCGCCAGCCCCGCGGACUGGCAGGGCCGCUCUGGAGUCACCCGCGCCCGCUCCGCAGUGCGCAAACUCACUUCGCAGCGGGCUCUCCCGGGGCCAGCCCUUCCCUCCUGGGCGGGCAUUUUCACCUCCAGGUACAAGGGGGUGGUCCCCAGAGGAGGACUCAGGGGCUUAAGGAGAAGCUGAGGCCCGGUCCUCUGGCCUCAACGACUGCACAUUCUCGCCGCCUGCUUCACUUCUUAGAGCCUUGGAGGGCUCCAUAUGGAUUUGUGUGCCCAAGAGGCCGGAUCCCUUGGGCCAGGUGCCCUGGAGCAUGGAGUGGUGACAGUCACAGGUUAGCAAACCCAGUUCGGAUGAAGAAGCGCAUCUUUAUCUCCGUCCACCUGGCCGCCUGGGCCGGAAUCCCGAGCCCGUGACACGCUGCUCUCCUUCCACCCCACCUCAGCUCUCAGAUCGUCCACUUCUCUCCCUCCCCACCCCAGCCCUACCUCCCACCUGGGUCUUUUCUAAACCUCCAAACAGAGAAACUCCUAAAAAUCCAGCUCUGAUCUGUCACUCCCCAGUUUAAAACUCAGAACCAGCUUCCCACUGCCCUCAAUUCCCUAAUUCCCACUGCUCAAUUCGGCUAAAGUGCUUACCAGACCCCGCCUCCUCUUCCAACCUAGCACCGGCUCCCAAACUGCAGUCCUGGUUCCAGCCCCAAAACAAAAAUAUUUCCAGCCCUUCAGCCCUCCAGGCAAAGCAAGAUAAGGGGCGAGACCCCAGAACCCUCAGAACUCAAACCAAGUUCCCAGCUUCCACUUCCAGGUGAAUUGGUCUCACCACCUCACCCCACCCCCAGGAGAUAGAACCUUCUAGUAAAAAUGAGAAAAUCCGGCCGGGCGCGGCGGCUCACGCCUGUAAUCCCAGCACUUUGGGAGGCUGAGGCGAGUGGAUCACCUGAGGUCGGGAUCACCUGAGGCUGAGGCUGAGGCAAGGAGAAUCGCUGGAACCCAGGAAAGAGGUUGCAGUGAGCCGAGAUCGCACCAUUGCACUCCAGCCUGGGCAACAAGAGCAAAACUCCGUCUCAAAAAAAUAAAAAAGAUGUUCAGAG
RNAcentral lists this long non-coding RNA (1570 nucleotides) under Homo sapiens (human). RNAcentral describes it as "non-protein coding lnc-BRD3-1:1". Lineage: Eukaryota; Metazoa; Chordata; Mammalia; Primates; Hominidae. The record is from RNAcentral.